CGUGGCUGGCCCGUGUGGGGGAACGUCCGGAACGGGCGCUAAUACCGCAUACGUCCUGAGGGAGAAAGUGGGGGAUCUUCGGACCUCACGCUAUCAGAUGAGCCUAGGUCGGAUUAGCUAGUUGGUGGGGUAAAGGCCUACCAAGGCGACGAUCCGUAACUGGUCUGAGAGGAUGAUCAGUCACACUGGAACUGAGACACGGUCCAGACUCCUACGGGAGGCAGCAGUGGGGAAUAUUGGACAAUGGGCGAAAGCCUGAUCCAGCCAUGCCGCGUGUGUGAAGAAGGUCUUCGGAUUGUAAAGCACUUUAAGUUGGGAGGAAGGGCAGUAAGUUAAUACCUUGCUGUUUUGACGUUACCAACAGAAUAAGCACCGGCUAACUUCGUGCCAGCAGCCGCGGUAAUACGAAGGGUGCAAGCGUUAAUCGGAAUUACUGGGCGUAAAGCGCGCGUAGGUGGUUCAGCAAGUUGGAUGUGAAAUCCCCGGGCUCAACCUGGGAACUGCAUCCAAAACUACUGAGCUAGAGUACGGUAGAGGGUGGUGGAAUUUCCUGUGUAGCGGUGAAAUGCGUAGAUAUAGGAAGGAACACCAGUGGCGAAGCGACCACCUGGACUGAUACUGACACUGAGGUGCGAAGCGUGGGGGAGCAAACAGGAUUA
RNAcentral lists this ribosomal RNA (659 nucleotides) under Pseudomonas aeruginosa. RNAcentral describes it as "bacterial SSU rRNA". It matches the Rfam family "Bacterial small subunit ribosomal RNA", at positions 125 to 780 of the family's 1533-position model. Lineage: Bacteria; Pseudomonadati; Pseudomonadota; Gammaproteobacteria; Pseudomonadales; Pseudomonadaceae. The record is from RNAcentral.